GACUGGUACAAGUGCAGUGGCAUUUACAAAUAAUCAAUCACAACAACCAGUUACAGAUUUAUUUGUUUCUUCUCUACUCCCACUGAUUUACUUGACUAGUCUUAA
This 105-nucleotide Y RNA is filed under the name Carlito syrichta (Philippine tarsier). RNAcentral's name for it is "Y RNA (ENSTSYG00000021597.2)". It matches the Rfam family "Y RNA". From Rfam's summary of the family: Y RNAs are components of the Ro ribonucleoprotein particle (Ro RNP), in association with Ro60 and La proteins. The record is from Rfam by way of RNAcentral. Lineage: Eukaryota; Metazoa; Chordata; Mammalia; Primates; Tarsiidae.